Molecule: long non-coding RNA, 353 nt
Organism: Oncorhynchus tshawytscha (Chinook salmon)
Lineage: Eukaryota; Metazoa; Chordata; Actinopteri; Salmoniformes; Salmonidae
Source: Ensembl
CAAUAUGGGUUGUGAGAUUGGUGGUUGGGUGUGUACUUAAAGUUGUGGAUGCUGUGGUGGUUGUGGUAGUUGUGGUAGUUGUGGGAGCGUACGUACUGACAUUUGUGGGUGUGGUUGUGAGUUCAGUAGUUGUUUGGGUGGUAUUUGGAAGUGCAGGUGAAAUCUGUGUGGUCGUGAGUUGUAUUGUCAAAGGAGGAGAGGUUGGUUCCCCUGUGGUUGUGAGGUUUGUUGUCAGAGGAGGGGAGGUUAUUGGUUCCUCUGUGGUUGUGAGGUUUACUGUCAGAGGAGGGGAGGUUGUUGGUUCCUCUGUGGUUGUGAGGUUUAUUGCCAGAGGAGGAGAGGUUGUUGGUUCC